CUACGGGAGGCUCCAGUGAGGAAUCUUGCGCAAUGGGGGAAACCCUGACGCAGCAACGCCGCGUGAGUGAGGAAGGUCUUCGGAUCGUAAAGCUCUGUCGGAUGGAAAGAAACGCAUGGAGGUUAAUAUCCUCUAUGCUUGACGGUACCAUCAGAGGAAGCACCGGCUAACUCCGUGCCAGCAGCCGCGGUAAUACGGGGGGUGCAAGCGUUGUUCGGAAUUAUUGGGCGUAAAGAGCGUGUAGGCGGCCUGAUGUGUCAGAUGUGAAAGCCCUGGGCUCAACCCAGGAAGUGCAUUUGAAACUGUCAGGCUUGAGUAAGGGAGAGGGAAGUGGAAUUCCUGGUGUAGAGGUGAAAUUCGUAGAUAUCAGGAGGAACACCGGUGGCGAAGGCGACUUCCUGGCCCUAUACUGACGCUGAGACGCGAGAGCGUGGGUAGCAAACAGGAUUAGAUACCCCAGUAGUC
RNAcentral lists this ribosomal RNA (465 nucleotides) under uncultured bacterium. RNAcentral's name for it is "partial 16S ribosomal RNA". It matches the Rfam family "Bacterial small subunit ribosomal RNA", at positions 339 to 795 of the family's 1533-position model. The record is from RNAcentral.